GCCCCCUAAGAACAAGCUGAUAAACAAUAAAACAAACCACAAGGGAAAAUGUUAUCUCAUCUCAACCAUCAAAACAGAAGCACUAUGGUAUUAUUUUACUCCAGAGUAUGAAACUUAAAGAUUUUAUCAGCUUUUCAUCAGAAACAAUGUGUAAUACCCAUCAUUUGCUUCGAGAUAAAUCUCCACAAUGAAAAAAAUGCUUCUUAAAAUUCUCAAUCCCUGGGCUUACCUGAUACAAACAAUAAAGUUAUUAUUUCAAAAUUUAUGACAAUUUGAUUGGCAUAAUAUAUAUAUCAUAUUCUAUAUAGAAACGAGAUUAUUCCUUCCAAACCGGUAAACUCUUACCAAGUUCAUAAGAUAUCACAGAGUUUCAAUUAGAAAAGCAUUAUAGAAGGUCAUUACCACUAAAGACUAGCUUAUAAAAUUAUCAUACAAACAUCACCUUGUGGAGCAAUCCAGCAAGCAAACUAGAAUUAGUAAACCACAAAAUGGAAAUCCUUGAGACAAUAUUAUAUUAAAAUUUUGACGAAUCAAAUUAUGUUUUUAGUAAGUCAGUUCCAACCAAUUAUAGUAAAGUAACAUUUUUCAGGCUCUUUAACACCUUAUAUAACCAUAUUCAACUGCUAAACACUUUAAUUUCCUGACAAGCCUCAGUUGCUGAACAGAGAUUACAAUUAACAAUAAGACAUGGAACUUGAAUCCGUGCACCUAAAAUGUUCCCCUAUCGAAGCUGAUUCUUAUAUAAAUACAUUGAUUACAAAAACACAACAAAAAAGCUAUCUAUGGGAACUAUUCUAGAUGGUUUAGCCUUUAGCAAAAAUACAAUCCACAUCUUAGGAGGCUAGUGUUGAGAUGGGAAAAGCCAUCCACUCUACUAGACAAUAACUGUACUAUGAUAAAUACUUCCCCUCAUGAGGUGCCUUUUCUCAAAGGAAAAAACCGUGAGAUCGGUCUUCACCUUCGAAGCAGACAAUAUCUCAUCACAGGCAUAGUCCCCACAAUCCUUGUAUUAACAGUCAUUAAUCAAGCAUGCUUAUUCAGAUACAACAUGAAAGGCAAUUACAAUGAAGUAAAAUUCCAUCUUUCUAAGUUCAUCGUUAAUCACUAACCAAAUUUCCUCCAGCUAAGCUUCGCAUGCCCAAAAACAUUUAAUAAGAGCAUUAUUAAACAUAAAAAAGACACAUUAUUUCAUCCAAAUGCCUUUCCCAGGAACCGUAAACAAUUUUAAAAAAAAAAGAAUACCUAGUUCAGAGAGGGAGCUGAAAAGAGUGUGAAUCAGUUAACGAAGAAAUAGAUACUGGGAAACGAAGAGACAUAUGACAUGGAGGUGAGCUUGCUGAAGCGUUCGUCCGAG
RNAcentral lists this long non-coding RNA (1354 nucleotides) under Gossypium barbadense (sea-island cotton). Its description in RNAcentral is "long non-coding RNA (GBAR_LNC020430)". Lineage: Eukaryota; Viridiplantae; Streptophyta; Magnoliopsida; Malvales; Malvaceae. The record is from RNAcentral.